UGGGGGAUAUUGCACAAUGGGCGAAAGCCUGAUGCAGCGACGCCGCGUGGGGGAUGAAGGCCUUCGGGUUGUAAACUUCUUUUGCUCUGAACAAGGCGCACCAUGGGGUGUGUUGAGUGUAGGGGUUGAUUAGCGCCGGCUAACUACGUGCCAGCAGCCGCGGUAAUACGUAGGGCGCGAGCGUUGUCCGGAAUUAUUGGGCGUAAAGGGCUUGUAGGUGGCUGGUUGCGUCUGUCGUGAAAGCUCAUGGCUUUACUGUGGGUUUGCGGUGGGUACGGGCUGGCUUGAGUGCAGUAGGGGAGGCUGGAAUUCCUGGUGUAGCGGUGGAAUGCGUAGAUAUCAGGAGGAAUACCGGUGGCGAAGGCGGGUCUCUGGGCUGUUACUGACACUGAGGAGCGAAAGCAUGGGGAGCGAACAGG
This 419-nucleotide ribosomal RNA is filed under the name bacterium. Its description in RNAcentral is "partial 16S ribosomal RNA". It matches the Rfam family "Bacterial small subunit ribosomal RNA", at positions 355 to 776 of the family's 1533-position model. The record is from RNAcentral.